This 732-nucleotide unclassified non-coding RNA is filed under the name Hevea brasiliensis (rubber tree). The record is from RNAcentral. Lineage: Eukaryota; Viridiplantae; Streptophyta; Magnoliopsida; Malpighiales; Euphorbiaceae.
GAUGCAACAAGCCAUCCCAGUAACUGCCAAAAAUAAAAAGCACUACUAUUAACCAACAUGUUCAUUGGAAAAAAAAUUGAAAAGGUGAUUGGAAAUAUCCGAAUAUCUUAGGAUAAUUGCACUAAACCAAGUAGGAACAAGAGAUUUGAUGUUAGAACAUUUUGUAACAUGUCGUGUACACUAUACAGUUGGAACUUGGACCCCAUAAAAAAGUUACCCAUAUUUGUUUAUAUUCUAGCCUCCUCUAGUAAUGAAUGUCAGCAGCUUUACCAAAAAGGGUAAAUGGAUAAAUAAAAGUCUACCAAGCUAAGCGGAGCAGCACAAAUGCAAAUAAGACAUAAGAAGUUGUUGAAAGCUGAAGUCAUCAGACUUCGAUCACGUCAAUCAUCUCAAGCUUUAGUUGAACAAAACAAGUUAUGAGAUCCUCAAUCCACAGUGCUCUACCACACAGCUGGAUAAGGGUUGUUUAUUCCAAAAGUAAUAAUUCAUACCUUAUUACUCAAUCAAUACUUGUUAUGGAUGAAUUUGUGGGCAAGGACAUGAUCUAAAAGAGAUCACAGUCAGCGGUGAUAAGAAUGACGACAAAUAAAUUAGUAUCAAAGGUAGAUUUAGCAUCAACACGAACUGAUUAUUAGUAGAAAUAAAUAUCCCAAUUAAGAUAUUACUCUGAUUAUCAUUAUCUUAACUUAUGGCCUUAAAUGCAGAUUUCCAAUAGUAAAAAAUUCCAUAUGA